AUGCGGCUGGCGGUGUUGACUGUAUCGCCGAACAGGCAGAAGCGCGGCAUGCGCGUGCCCACCACGCCGCUCAUGGCGCUGCCGCUGUGGAUGCCCACCCGCAGCCGCACGGGCUCGCCGGUUGUGGGCAGCCGCACGGCGCCUGCGGCUUGCAGGAGCGCCUGCGGGAAAAUUUGCAAGGCAUAAGGCUCAGUUAGCGGGGUGAACCGGAAGCGCGGCGGGCAGUCCUGUACAGCCAGCAAGUCACUCCAACCUCACACCCGCUGGGAAGUGGGCCCCACGCGACUACGCACGUACCUUUGCGAACUGCACGGUGCGGUAGGCGUGCAGCGGGUCCACGUCAUCACUGCGCACCGUCACCGCGCCCGUCUCCUCGUCCACCUUCAUCAGCCCGCCCGCCACCAUGUAGCAGUCGCCGAUGGUCUCCACCUUGUACACGCCGAACGCGUCCAGCAGCGCAUCCAGCCGAGUGAACAGGUCGUUCUGCGAAAGCGCCGCCAUAACACAUCAGUCGUAUGCGGGGCAAGGAGCAGAUCCCAACUUGCAAAGCAAGUGGCAAGGCGCGCUGUACCCUAGCAAAUGGGUCUCCCCGUGUGCCCUCCCGGCUAUUCAUGUCCUCGUGGACUGCGUCCCAGUAUUUCCUGGCUCCUCCUGGACAGAGGGAGAAACACCGCUCACUCCGCGCACUUGCGUCCGCACCUACCAGGAAGGCCAUGACCACUCCCGGCCGCACUGAGUUACACAUCCCGGUGAAUCCCUGAAGGCACAAGACAAUAAGCGGUUGCGGGCAACCCAGUUUCAUACAACAGCAUAGAUGACAACGCCGUCGAUUGUAGCAGCAAUAGCAGUGUCCGAGUACGCAGGUAAUGGCGCUGGCAACCACCCUAAGCAGGUGUGCAAGACAGCAGCAGGUGUGGCUGGAAAUCGACUGCGGCUGCUAAUGAAAUUACGCACCGAAACUACCAAGCAAGCUCAAUACGAGGCGCGCACCUGAAUGUCACAGAACAGGACUGUGAUCAUGGAGUGAUUGGUGGCCAGAUGAAUAAACGUGUCACCGGUGAUGUGCAGUGGCCCCGACACGGCUGCCACCGGUGCGCCCACAGAGUCCGCGCCAGAGCCCUGCUGCUGUGUGGCCGGGCCGGUCCUGGCCGCGCCGCCUCCCGUGAGUGCGGCGUCCAUGGUUGCCACUGCAAUGUGCUCGAGCACUGUGGGACGCAGGGGAGGGGCGUGCACAUGAUUCAGUGCUACAUGUUAUCUGGGACUUCAUGCCAGGUGGAAACAACUGGUAAGGAAGUGGAAAGGAAACGGAAGUCUAGCCACCCGUUUUCUCGCAUCCAUGUUUGUAGCCGUACCGUGCGCGGGGAAGAUGGCCUGCGGUGUCAGGACACGGAGCAGGGUUGUAGUCAGUACUGCGCGCCUUUCAAGCAUGCAAUCGUGAGUGACCGCCCCGGUGUAUCUUGAUCACCCUUACACACGCACCUCCAGCAGCGCGUGCUCCGCCUCCACCACCCGGGCCAGCUGCCGUUCAGCCCACACACGUGCCGACACGUCGUGCUGCGAGCAAGUGGUACAACAUGAACUUGAGUCAACAAAGGUGCUUGGGCAAGCGGCUGACAUCCCUCGCGUGACAGUAGACAGUAGUAAACGCCUCCCCGGGGUGGAUUUUGCGCGCCUCCUCCCGCCGAUGAUUAACCGGAACCAUGCUGACUUGCGAUACGGUACAGCUUGCACGGCACUUCUCGCGGGCGGAGGAAUCUCCCCCACCCACUCCCCACGCCUGCCCCGCAAGCCCCUCACCUGCACCACCAUGAUUAGGAACUCGCCAGGUGACGUUGGGUGCGGCACUGCUGACACCGUCAACUCGUACCAGCUGCCGCCCUCUGUGCCCAGCCCACCAGCGCCACCGCCCAACACCGAGCCGACCGCCGCCGUCGCGUCCGCGGCGCCACCACCGCCCGCCGCGGUAUCGACUGAGAAGCUGGCCGCAGCGGUGUCAGUGGCCAGUUGCAGGCCAGGAGGCGGCGGCAAGGCCACCGUCGACAUGGCCGCAGAGGCUGUUGAGGUGGCGCUGUGUGAGCCGCACCUCGUUACCACCAGCAUGCCCGCCAUUUUGCCGCCGCCACGGCCGUUUCCAGCGGCAGCACCAGCUGUCAACAUCUCUGCGCUUAGCAGACCUGAGGCAGCUGCCGCCGCCGCACCGGCACCGGCACCGGCACUGGCGUAUGAGCUGACAGCCAAUGUGCCGCCGCCGCCGCCGCCGCCGCCGCCGCUACCGUGGUCAACCUGACGGCGCCGUCGCGACGCCCUGCCGUCUUGGGCUCCACGCACAUCGACUGCAUGGGCUGGGCUCCCAUCCGCACCGCCAACGGCUUCGGGUGUGCUCGCAAAGCUCCGCAUGGUGCCGCCGGUCUGCUGCGCGCCACUGUCCUGGCCGCCGGUCGCUUCGCCCAUACCGCCGCCGCCGCCGCCGCCGCCUGCGCGGCAACUGUUCCUCCAGGAGCCGCUGUGGCCCGCCAGCAGUUGCGUUUCGGCAUCACGGCCGUCUUUCUGCGGGCUGCAACUCCUGCUAUUGGCACCAUCAGCAGCCUGCUGCUGGUGCUGUUGAAGGUCCUGCUGCUGCAUCAGCGUUGCUGCCGAGGACCUCUCAAGGCGCCCCAGGCCGGCUGCGGUCGUGCUGAGGGCGCCCAGAGCGCUGUGGCCGGACUGGUGCUGCAGCAUGACAUGCUGGUUGCUGUUGCACGAAGCCGUGGUCGUCAGGAUCCCGGCGCUGCUGGCGAUGACGGGCGGCAUCAGCACAGCGCUGCUGCCAGCGUGCCCGUGGAGGGCGGAGCCGAAGCUGCCGCUCAGGCCAGCAGAAGCUCCCGCGCGCGGCGAGGCGCCCACAGAUCCGUGGAUGCCGCCCCGGAUGCUGACGUCUGCAACCAGGUCUGCCACCGCUGCUGCAUCCUCUUCGCCACCCGCCGCCGCCGCCGCCGCUUCUAGGAUGACAACAUCACCGCAGGUGUGGAAGGCGGAGCGGUUUAUCACAUUGCUGCUGCUCAUAAACCGUCCAGCAACAGGCGCACCUGCCAGCCCGCCGGUGGCAGAGCCCACACCUAACGCGUCGUCGCACAGCCCUGUCGCGUACGUGUGCAUAAGCGCGGAUGGCAUGCGGUCACCCACCGAUUCCAGCAGCGCAGCCGCCGCAAGGGAGCUCAGCGGCCCGCUGGCAUGGUUGGUGCUGUUGCCGCCACCUGUGCCAUUACUCGCUGCCCACCGCGCCCCACCCAAGGCAGACGUGCCGCCCGUGACGCCAGCGCCUCCAGCACGCGCCAUAGAACGCAUGGUCAGCUGCACAAUGCGCGGCACUGCCAGCCCUGCCGCCGGCGGUGUCGGGGGCGGUGGCGACGGGUGUGAGCCCAGGUGCAGCGGCGGCGGCGACGUGUGCCCGCCACCACCACCGCCACCUGCGCCACCGCUUGAGCCUCUGAACAUGGCGGCAGGGGAAGGGCACGCUGCCGCUGUUGCAAUUGACAGGUGCUGCGGCAGGGGCGAUGCAAUCACCCGCGGGGACUUGCUGGCGACGUCGGCGACGGGGCCAUCAACUGCAUCCAGCGCAACCCCAGCAAACGGAUCUACAGCGGCCGCCGCCAUCAGCGGAGCAGUAUUCAAAACUGGCCGCUGCCUCCCUGCCGCUGAUAACGCCGAUACGGGGACGGAGAGCUUGCCGCUGACAACGGCGGUUAAGUCGCUCACGCUGCCAACCCCGUGGCCGGUACUCGCAUUGAAAGAGUUGCCAAAGUUGCGAGCUGCUGCGCCCUUACCAGACGCUGCUGUGCGAGGGCUGCUCAUGGGCAUGUUGCCGCUGCUGCCACUGUUUUUGGCUGCUGGCGGCGUGAAGGUCCACAGCUCGGGCGGUGGCUGCUGCGGCACCUCAAGUGUGGCCGCGCCAAGAGGGCCAGAGGCUGCACGAGUCAGAUGGUUCCAGGAGACGCUGACGUGGCGGUGGGCGGGCUCCAGGGCCAUACCAGCCGCAGCCGCAGCCGCUGCCGCCACGACUUUCAAGCCCGUGCCGGCGGCAGCCCCGGCUGCAGCGGCGGCACCGACACUGUUGCCGCCGAACGUCCUUGAGGCUUCUUUGGCUUGGUCUACCGACGUCACGCCCGCCAUGACGGACAGGAGCUCGUUCGACAGCAUGACCUGCCCAUCGCUUAGGGCUGGUGACCGGUGCAAUCCCGAGCGCUGCUGCUGGUUGCUGCUGCUGGUGCCGCCAUCACCCAUGCCGCUGAUGGCGCCGGGUCCAGUGCUGCCACUGGCUCCCCCACCCAUCUUCGCAAGGCUCGUAAGCCGUGCCAGGCUCCUUGCCAGGAAGUUCUUGCCGCGGCUGCUGCGGGGCGAGGCGGGGCCGGCACCGUUCAUGGACAGCGCUUCACGGGCCGUCCCUGACGUGGGUGAAAGAGCGCCCACAGGAAUCCAAGCAGCCGCUCUGGAGGAUGCCUGGCCCGUCGCAUCGCGGUCAGGCCUUGGAAGGACGAAGCCAGCAGCCGAUGAAAGGCCUGCAGAACGCACGCUUGUCAUGGCUACUGAAGAACGCACCGCCGGCGCAUCCGCGCUAGCGCCGCCAGCACCAGCAGCAGCGGCGCGCGACAUGGGGAAGUGCACUGUGUGGCUGCCGGGCUGCGGCGGCGGCAGGGGCUUCGAGCGCGCACUCGCCGCGGCCGCCGUUGACUCCAUACUGCAGAAGUCAUCACUGCCAUUGGACACAAGCAUCAGGUUCUCCACGGACCGUGUGCGGCGGCCGCCGCCGCCACCGCCGCCACCAAUCGAAGCGGCGGCAGUAGCGUAGAGGGAUCCUGCAGGAAGGCCACCCACGCCGCUGUGAUGCAGCGCCCGGCUGCCGAACAUGCCGCUGGCAACGGCGCCUGCUGCGGCCUGCUGCUGGUGCUGAUAUGCUGCGGCGCCGACACCAAUGCAUGUGGACUGCCGCCUGGCGACGCUGCCGCCCACGCUGACGUCUAUGUCCCUCGCCGAAGCGCCCGCAUGCGCCGCCGACACGGCAGCUGCGACCCCGCCCGCUCUUGCCAUGGCGACCGUGCCGCCAGCCGCCGCGCCACCAGAGGCGACAGAGCCAGCGCAUGAGGCGCGAUUGGCGGCCGCAGCGCGCGCGCCGCGCCGCGCUGCGCCAAAGGCGGACGUGCUGAGGCCUUGCAUCAGCGCCUCUUGGUGCUGCUGUCGCUGCAGCUGCUGCAGCUGCUGCCGCUGGUGGAGCUGCUGAAUGUACUGCUGCUGGUGCUGCAUCAGCUGCAUGAGUUGCUGCUGCUCUAGUGAUGCCAGAAUGGCAGGAUCUGUGUCCGCCAGGCCGCCUGCUCCGGACGCCGUCCACCCAAAAACAGCAGGCGGGCUGCCACUGACGCCACCGGCCACCGCCGCCGCCCUAGCCGCUGCUGCGCCGCCGCUGGCAUAGGUUGUAACAAAGUGACCGCUGUUGCCGACGCCGCUCUUGCUACGUGACAGCGGAGUGCGGGCUGCAGCCACAUGCUGCACACGCCCUGAUGAGCUGCUGUGGACUUCGGAGCCGCAAGCGACACCGCCCGCAGGAUGAGGUGCUUCAGCAGCUGACAGCAAGUGGGCGUGUGGGCUGGGCGGUAGACGCAAGCUGCGAGGCUGCUGCCCGCCAGAAGGGCUGCGGGCGAGAGAGGCGUCCGAAGAGGCAGAAGCGGCAGUUGGCACUCCGACAGCGGCAUCCGCGUUAGCACCAGCGGCAUAGUAGCGCUGGCCACGUCUUGUAGACGCCGACAGGGGCGCAACGCUGUCAGGCAGGUUGGCGGAGCUAAUGAGGGCAAAGGCUGAUGACACCGCCAACGAUGCAGAGCGGCCGGGGGCGCCUGUUGCUGCGUUGGCUGCAGCAGGCCUGCCUCCGGCUUGGGCGGCAGUGCCGCCGCCGCCAGUCGUGUCCGGCGGUGCAGCGGGAGAGCCCCCUGGGAGUGGCGCCAAGCCUGCGUUGAAUGAAGGCUCAUUCAUGCUGCUGCCGUCUGCGCUACCGCGGCUACCUCCGUGAGCGGAGCUGCCUGCCUGAUGCAUGCUGCGACUGCCGCCACCGGCGGCGCUGCUGCUACUGCCGUCUUGCAAGCUGCAGCUUGCCGGGGCCCCACGCACACGGGUAUGACGCCGGUCUGAAGAGGGGCAAAAACGUGUCCACACGUGUUUCUCCACGCUCGCGUAGACUUAGCCUCCCUCUUUCAGGAAUUAACUUAUAUGACAUAUAAGGAUGCAAAAGUUUGACUCUUGUCGCAUUCUGCGAGGGUGGCUGUCACCACAUUUCGCGAGGCAUGCUUUCGCCAGGGUCGCACUCUUAAGCCCGGCAGCAUGUUGCUAGUGUCCUUGCAUGUAUGUUUGAUGACGGCAACAAUAAUUGGCAUCAAAGCGCGGUAAUUGCGCAGACUUGAGAAGCCUGUUCACCGCGACGUCACCGAAUAGGCCGCAAACAAAAUAUUUGAGGUCUCUAUAGUAUCAAGGUGAUACUUGUAGAACGCUGGUAGCUGAUUCGGAGGUCGGCCUGACGACCGUCGCCGACCGUGCCAACCUGGGCGGAACGCAUCGCCCGGACGCCACGCGAGCUAGACCAGUCUAGGCCGUGUUGUCUGCCCGGGACCACGUUCGCCGUGCCUUAAAUGGGUAGUGCCCGACCUGUAGCCGGAGUUUGGGGACCGGACGACAAGGCCAAGGCAGGUAACCAGGCUGUGCCGUUUGACCCCUCUCCCAGACCGGCGUCAUACCCGUGUGGGCCCCACGGGCACUGCCACAAACGCCUCCGUCGUUGCCAGCAAGCGCGGCGGAGAGGAGGGAAGGGCGGCAGGCACUCCCGCGGUUGCAGCUCAUGCGGCGGGCACGGCUGUCGUCGCUGCCACAGCCGUCCUCUGGUCCCCGAGGUGACGCAUCCUGCCGGACUGCCGGUGAAGUCCUGGCACCGUCGACGGCGCCUGUCACCGCCAAGCCUCUGGCAGUAGAAGCAGCUUCCUGCAAAUCCACAGCAGCAGUGAGGGCUGCUUCUCCAGACUGCCCGCCGGUGCCGGCAGCUGCAGCAGGAACUUCCAGCUUGCGCCGCCCGCCGUGGCUUGACACCUGUCCCACCGCAGCCGCCUGCGGCUGUGCCUCACCGCUAGCAACGCCUCCGCUGACGCCGCCUGCUGCUGGUGCCCGUGCAUUUGCCAGCGAGCUAUUGCUCCGCUCCGCCGCCGCGGACCGUGCGCGGCAACUCACUAAGAGCGCGAGGGACUCGGCUGUCAGCGCGUUCCCGGAUGCUGACGUGGCCGAGUGGGCGACGCCCCCGAACGGCAUCUCCAGACUGUUCGAGUUACCGAGCACCGCCGAGAUGGUGUUUCCAGACGUGUGUGCACCAGUGCCGUGGUCCGCCCAGGACGCGUAACUGAGUUUGUCGCAUUGGAAAUCAAUUGAGGCCGCCGCAGCCGCAGCCGCCACAGCUGCCCCAAGGGCGUUGGCAGCAGCCGCGCCGCCGCCUGCGCUUGCAGCUGCUGCUGUGGGUUGGGUGUGUGGCCCCUCCGCUGAGGGAAGUGACGGAUGUGAGUCACACGGCUGCUGGCAUGCGCCAAUCUGUUGAUCGGGUCCAAGGGGAAACAGCAUGCGCCUGGCUGUUGCUGUGACAUGAUGCGGUGGGUGAGGGCUGCCGCUGCUGCGGACGUGGUGACGUGCAAGCCCCUGCUCCGCCCCUGCGGUCGCUGCGCCAGCGGCGGCAUCGCCAGCAGCAUCGCCAGCAGCGUCGCCAGCGGCGGCGGCCGCGCCAGCGCACCAUGAGGACCGGCGGCGAGCAGCUGCGGACCCCCUGGCGGUGGCCGCUGCUGCUGCUAGCGCAAUGGGGCCGCCGCCACUGCCGCCGGCGACUGAGCCGACAUGCAGGCUGUAGCGGGAGUCGACCUGCAGCAUGGGGGCUGCCGCCUCCAACACCACACAGACCGAUGGCAGCCCCCAUGCAGGUGCAAGAUCAGGCGGGUCGGCGCGGAUCGGCACCGCCGCAUGCGUGGGGUUCGCUCGCAGCUGUGGCAGGGUCCUGUUGGACAGCAACCCUAUGUCAGCAGCGGGGCGGCACUGCGACGGGCUGCCGCCGACGUCACCGGGCAGCUCGUCCUUGUGACUCUGCGACUCGCCAGUAGCCCCGUCCUGCGCCACGUGCUGCAGCUGUGCCGUGCCAGCGCUGCUAUUGAUGGCUUCACAAGUCGGUGCUGACGCAGCCAGUAGACGCCUCUCCGCAGCAAACAUCUCCUGCUCCUGUAGCUCCCUCUCCCUCGCGGCCACCGCCGCACGCGCCGCAGUCGUAGCAUCCGCCUCACCAAGCACGGCGGCCGGAGCCCUGCUACCCAAUCCGUCCAUCCCGUGCUGUUGCUCCUGCUGCUCCAGCUGCUUCUCUUGCUCGUGGUGCUGCUGGUCUUGAGGCAACGGCGGCUCUUCCCCAACAGUGCCGCAGUGCGCCGAGCGGCUCUGCCGCGACAGUGGCGACAGGGAGCGCCGCCCGCUCGCGCUGCUUGGCGAGCCGCCGCACCCGGCAGCAGCAAUCGCAGCCCCUCCAGUGGCCCCUGCUCUGAAGCUUCCCGCUGAUACAGCCGAUGGCCCGCCAGUGAGGGAUGGCAGCCGCAGCAGCACGUGCUGGGGACCAGCUGUAGUAACACCAGCCUCGUUUCCCGCAUCCCCUGACACAACGCUCGCUAACAAUGCGUCGCGGCUCCGGUCCGCAGCUGGGCUCUGCGACCGUGCGCGCUGGCCAUCUGCAUUGUGCACAGGAGGUGGCGCCGCCGCGGCAGCUGGGGAACCGCCAGCAGCGGCAGCAGCGCGUGCCUGACUCACACCGGAGUGCGUGUCCGGCUGCCGCAACCCCCCUGUCCGUGUUGCAGCCUGCCAUUCUUGUGAAGGCGGUGGAGGCGGUGGUGGCUCCUUCCGUUGCGGCGUCUGCUGCGGUUGUUGCUGUGGUGGUAGUCGGCUUGGUCCACGCGUCCGCACCCCGACAGCGCCACUGCUGCCCAUCAGAGGUGCCGCAGUUGCUGCGGACACGCCAGCGCCACCCACCGCGGCCUGAGCUGCUGCAGCCGAAGGUUUUGCUACCGCUGCUGUAGCGCCAGCGUAAUCCUUCUCAGCCUGCCUGAGGAAGCUUCGCACAUCUAUCAGCGGCGCCGUGCGCCCAGCUGUUGUUGCGCCACUCACGCCACUGUUGCUUCCCCUCGACCCCACCAGACCACUGCUGCCGCUAGCUCCCCCAGCACCACAGGUGCGAGGCAGGCUGGUACGGCCAAAGCCUGGAACAGCAAGUUUCACAACAGCGGAGCCUGCUGGUACGUCCAUCGACAUCCGAUGACUGCCGGCGCGUGAGGCCUUUGAUGUCGUGCUGCCUGCUGCUGGCGCUACAGCCUGUACACGCCUGCUGAUGUGCGUCUGUUGGGAAUUGUGGUGCGAGGUGGUGGUGUCUAGGGCCGCCCAACGCGGCCGGAAGGAGGCGUCUUCGUCAAGUGAGGCGCGGCGAGGCGACUGCAGGACGCCGGCGGAAGGGGAGCUGUUGGCGGCGGCAGCGGUGGCCGUGGCGUUACCACCGGUGGUGUAUGAGGCUGCUGCAGAUGAAGGGACCUCUACCGAAGCCCGGCGGCCCCGACUGCGCAGGGCAGAGCGUGCCGCCUUCCAGUCCCACAGUGCCGACACGGACACGGGGCCCUUGGGCUCCUCGGCUACCGUUCGUGCUUGGGGCACGCCGGCUGCUGGCGAGGUGGGGCUGCUUGUGCCGGCGGCGUACGAAGUGCCAAAACGGCUGGGGCGGUGAUGUUGAGAGCCCUGUUCCUGAUCUCGCUCCUGCGCCUGCGUCUGCGGCAGCAGCAGCAGCAGCUGCUGCUGCUGCUGCUGCUGCUGCUGCUGCUGUUGCUGCUGCUGCUGCUGCUGCUGCUGCUGCUGCUGCUGCUGCUGCUGCUGCCGCUGCCGCUCCUGCGUCUGCGGCAUCUGCUUCUGCUGCUGCUGCUUCUGCUGGCUGCCCGCGUCACCACGGCGGCGCCCGCCUUCCAGAGGCACUGACGGCGGCGCGGCAGCACUGCUGCUGCCAGCCAUCGCAGCAGCUGUAGCGGCCGCUGCCGACGCCCAGGUGCUACUGCCUACGGAGUGGUCGCAGCUCGCCUGCCCCCCGGCCCUGCCGGCAGGGCCCACCGACCCCCGCGAGAACAGGUGCUGGUGCAGCUCCAGAUCCGCUGCUGAGGCGCCGGACCCAGCAGCAGUAUCAGCCUCCAUUACCGUCGCCGCUUGCACGGGGGCGACUGCAGAGUUUGCCGGCUGGCUGCCGCCGCCACACACGACGCUCUGGCCGCCACCACCGCCCGAUGUCAGCACAUCGACCAGCAGCUCGCCCGGCCGUUCCGAAGGGCAGCAGCCCACCUCGCCGCUGCGAGGAGCAACAGCUGCGGCGCUGUAGUGCCUUGCCGGCCCCGCGGCGUCGCGCCGCUGCCCCCGCCCGGGCGCCGCUCCCGUCUCACUGCUGACCCUACGGUCAGGCGCCAGCACCUCCGCCGCAGCGCUGCUGCUGCCGGCAGCGUCUGUUGCAGCCGCUCCUGCUGUCCGGCUUGCACAAGGGAGGCUCAGACUGUGGGUAAUGCGCAUUGAUGUCUGCAUCAGGUGCUGCUGUUGCUGCGGAGCCAGCAGAGGCGGCCCAUGCAGCACGUGGUAAGCUGGCAGCGCCCCAGACGAGGAUGGACAGUGAUGGCUGUAGCAGUCGCGUGGGUUCCCGUACGCAUCGCUCCCAUGCCCAGCUCGCUCUGGCUGUAGCAGCUGCAGCUGUAGCCGCAGCGAUGCCAUGUCGUGUGCUGUCCAGGGAGCUCCACUGCCACUGCCACCGGGUGCCACCGCGCCUGCUGUCGGCGGCGGCGGCUGUAGCAGCGAUGGCAUCGCGCAGCUUGAGGCGAGGGAGCACUGCUGCGAGAGGCGCCCGCUGGCGGCCGUCAGAAGCAUGUUUGCGGCUUCUUUCUUGGAUGUUUCGGCGGGCGCGGGUGGCGGGCGCGAGUCCAUGGCUUGGAUUUGGAUUAGGCCUGUGUGCAUGCAGGGCAAAACGCGUCAGCACGCCUGGAAGCCUGCGGGGCAUACCGUACGGCAUGGUGUGAUGCCAGCGCGUGUGCCUACCUCGCCAGGUGCGCCCGGCCGCUAUGUCCGCCAUGGCUUCUUGCAGCGCAUCUGGAUCAGCGGUGAACAGGAGGCGAAGCGAGGGGGGUGCCGGCCGGCACGAGCCGGCAGCAGCCCGCAUCCUAUCAAAAAGCGCUUCCGAGGCCGCGUUGUUGGCGAGCAGCGUGCCAUUGCGGGUGAAGAGUGCGACCUGUGACACAGGCGGCCGAGGCCAGGGGAGGGCGCGGGGGGGGGGGGGGCGGUUACGGGCGCAGGAACACACAAAUCGACCAAAAAACAAACAGCAGGCACGGCACACGUGGAGCCGUUCAAAGGCGUACGGGCAAAACCUACCCAGCGCCUUGACCUUCCUUACCGGGUCGGAUAUGUGCUGCAGCAUCAACGCAAAGUAGUUGUUGAGCGGCGGCGGGGCCGCAUCGGCUGUCCUGCAUGCUGCCAACAACGUCGCUUCAGAGCCCUGACGCUGCGUUCGGCCUGUGUCCUGCUCUGGUUUGAAGCAGCAAAAUAUCCAUCCUAGCGCCUUUCCUGGCACCAUCGCCGCAGCGUAGCCCUCAAGUUCGCUGAAAAGCCCUACACUGCUGACAUGAUGGCAUUAGACUAAGGCAGAAUGCGUUCUUAUUGAAGUAUCUUCCUGCGAGCAGCUGACCCUCCGAGUAAGCUGGAGCCCGCCCAACGAAAGACGCAAUCGCAGCAACGCGCAGUGUGACAAAAUACUUUGCAUAUCAUAAGAUACUAUCACACAAUAAUAAUACGACGACCUCAAGAGACGUUGUCCUCAAGAGCAAAGUGUCACAAUCACCCAAGGCAAAGGCCCGGCUUAGCUAGCGUCUGUGCGGUAUCAAAGAAGAACAUGUCAUAUAUAUAAUUAACAGCAGCACCUGUGCACACGUUAACGGGCUCCAUGCCGAACGAGUGGAACGACUCUCCCGUCUUUGAUCUCGGCUCGACGCACGGCCCCCACGCGCAACUUAUCGAUAUAUCAUGCGGUGACGUAGUUCUACCGCCAUAUGCAGUACUGCAGAGGCAGCGGAAACAAAUCCAAUCUUUCCAGAAGCGUGACCUCGCACGCCUGUCCGUGUACCAACUUUCACUGAACCAGAAGUUGCAUGAUGCAAUGCAUGCGCAAGGGUGUCAGCUAAAUACCACCUAAUUAGAGCCUUCCCUCGAACCUUAGUCCUUCGAGUCAAACCCUAGCGAUGCGCCGCAAUUGGAUGCGCACACAUUAUGCGGCACCCCUUCCGCACGAAAAGCAGCGGGAAUGCAUAAGGACGUCUCAAUGGCCAGACUGGCCACCUUGUCCUCUACUGCACGGUGCAAUUCAAGCACGCGGGUGGCUCCCGGGGGCGUGCUUUGAUGCCAUCGCAUUGCCCCGACCCUGCUGCAGCAGGCGCCGGCGCGCUUCCAGCUUCAGCGCCAGCGGUGCCCGCUGCGGUGUGCAUCCCACCCUUCUGCUGGUGUUGCAGUUGCAAUUGCUGCAACUGCUGCAACUGCUGCUGGAGGUGGGCCGCGGCCGCGAGCCGCUGUAUGUCCAUGCUGGGCGCCAGUACCGACUGGGCGUGCACAGGCAGCAUCUGAAGCUGCGGCGAGGCUGCUGCCACACUGGCCGGGUCAGCUGCUCCAGGCGACAGCACCGGUAGGGCAGAGGCACCGUGCUGUUGGCCCUGGUGAACGCGCAUGGGUGCACACGGCUGCUGCUGCACGAGCUGGGCCCCAUGCCACUGGCCUGCUGACGCGGCCUGCUGCGACGGGCCCGCUGCAGACACAGCAGCCGCCAUGGCUAAUGCCGGCGCCACCACCCCGAGCCGGCAUUGCCCGUAAGCGGUCGGCGGGUGUUGCUGUUGCGGGUGGGGGGGCCAUGUCGCACCCUGCUCCUGUUGCUCAUGUGCAGGGCGCCACCAUGGCUCCUGCCCACCGUCGUUGCCGCUGCACCCCACCUGCUGGCCCUGCUGCGGCUCUGGCAGCGGCUGCUGCACCAACGUUCUCCCGCCAGCGCUGGCCUUGCUCGGCGAGCUGACCGCGAAGAGCGCCCCCUUCCACAGCAGGCCGCCCGUUGCCGGCGCCGCCUCCUUGUUGACUAUUCCGCUGGGCUGAGCUGCGCCUAGCGCCGCAAGGUCCGCUGCCACACGUGUUGCCGGCUGGGCCUUGCUCACGCCCGCCAGCGGCGUCGCUGCCAGCGAUGAGAGCAGGCUGGCUGCCGCCGCUGACGUCACUUGCGAAACUGGCGUCGCGAAGCUGUGCUCCGAGACCGGGCCGGCGCCGCUGCGCGGUGUGGACCGCGCGCCAGCGGCCGCUGCAGCCCCGGGCCCGUGCGCGCGCGACGGCGAUACUGCUGCCGAGGGGCUGAGGCCGCCGUUGACGGUGGCGCUGAGCCCGGACAGCUGCUCCUCCAACACCUCCAUCCGGUGCUGUGGGAUGGGUGUGUGUGUGUGUUGUGGGGGGGGGGGGAGAGGUGCGGGGCACGACAGGGCAUGAGUCUGAUGCGCCAAAACGGUAUUAGUUGCACUCAUCUGCCUUUACGCUCGGCUGCAUGAUCCCGGCCCGAGCGCUUCAACUGCUCACCGUCAUGUACUCCAUACCGGUCUCCAGCUUGGUCAGCCGCUUCAGGUACUUGUCCUCAUAGCUCGCUUGCGCGCGCCGCUCAGCCUCCUCCACUAGCGCGGCCUCCCUGAGCUUCGCAAUGUUCUGCUCGCGCGCCCGCAGCUCGUUCGCCUGUAAAGAUGAAAACACAUGUAUUCUUCGACAGGGUCCCAGGUUGUAACCGCCCAAGCCUAUCUCUGAGUUACAUGCGUUUCAAGCUGCGUUGUGCUGCUGCUACGGUAGCUCGCACGCGGGUCCCAAGCCUCACCUGCUCGCCGUAGCGCGACUGCAUGUCGCUGAACGCGCGCUGCCACUCGCGGCGGAUGCUACCGCCCUCGGUGGCCAUGUCCUUCUUCAGAUCCCCUAGCAGCGCUCUAAGCGCCUCCACCUCCGCCCGCAAAUCGCCCGGCUGCUGCGGCGUGUAGGACCCCAGGCCGCCCAGAGGCGUCCCUGUGCCUCCAAGGCUGCUGCGCCCUGCUCCGCCUACAGUACAACAAGCCCGGUUGCGCGAUAUGAUGCUGCGCAGGUUACCUUGCAUGAAAUGCUGCUGCAUAUGCGCUGAAAAAGCGAGGCUUCCAACUAUCCCGAUGCUUACCGUACUCACCGUUCGGAGUGGAUGGCACGGCCGGAGUGGGCGUGCCGGGCCCAGGGGAUCCGGGCGACGCCUGCAACCCGGCCUGCAUCUGCAGCAGUGCGGCCACUUGCCGUGCCGUCGCGUCUUGCUGCUGCUUGAGCUCCGCCAGCGCAGCCGAGGUGGUGCCCAGCACUGUCGUAAGCGUGUCUGCGUGUUAGUUGCGGCGUUUGCCGGCUGACGCAACAAGCGACCUCUACUCAUGCACGUAACAGACACAAGCCAGCCGCAUAUCCCCCUCACCAAGCUGUGUAGUAGCGCCUCAUUUACUUACGCAGGUGCACUUACCUGAUAGCCCCUCGCCGUUCGGCGCGUCGCUGGUGCGUGCCGGCGCAGCUGCUAGCCGAGCCAGCUCUGCCUGCGCCUGGUGCUGCCACUCAGACAGGCCCGCAAGCUUGGAGGACAGCUCCGCGCACUGCUGCGUCAGCGUCGCCACCGGCAGCUGCAACAGCUGGACCUGGGGGCGGCACACACGGACACGCAGCACACCAUCACCGGCUUGACAAUUGACACCCGGUUCAUGCCCAGCUCAGCGUACACGUAAGCGGCCUAGAAAGCCCCGACCUACACCACCUUCUCACGCGGUUCUCACCUGCGCCUGCAGCUGCACCACCUGCUGCUCCAGCACAAUGCUGCCGCCAGCCGCAUGCUGCUGCUGCACCGCAUCCAGCCGGCUGGACACGGCGCGAGCCUCGGCGCUGGCCGCGGUCGCCACCGCCAGCGCGGGAGCCAGCUGGUCCACCUGCGCCCGCAGCGAUGCCAGCUCCGUGUGCAGCGCGUGGUUGGCGUGGCUGUGCGCACGUAGGGAGGGAGGACAGAGCUCGGAGGUUGGUGCAAAGACACGCACACCGCCCAAGGCGCGUCCCCACUUGGUCUAGGUGUGGCCCUGGCGGGAAGUAUAACCAGCCCUUCAUGAAACGCAGAUGAAGGCUGGCCUGACGCUCAAGGCGUGUCCCUGCUUAGUAUAGCCGUGGCCGUGGAGGGAUGGAAGUCCGGGCCAUUGCUAUGCCAGAAGCGACCGCGCCUUGAAGGACGCAACCCACCUGGUGGCGGAGGAGUCUGAAGCGACGGUGCGUGCCGCGCUGCUGCUGAGCAGCACCACCUGCUCCGAGAGCUCCCGCAGCUGUGCGCCCAAACCCCGCUGAUCCGACGACAGCCGCCCCGCCGUUUCCUGCAAGGCAAACAGGUGCGCAGGUGAGCACUUGGUUUCAAGGCCGUAGCCACAUUGCCACGUGGUACGGUUGUUGCGCAAUACGCCAUUCAAAACAACGUAUGCCCAACCCACAACGCGCACCUGCAGCGAGCGCUCGCCGUCCUCCAGACGCUCCAGUCGGCCGCGGGUGUCCUUUCCGCGCUCCUCCGCGAAGCCCACCCGCUCCUCCAGCUCGGAUAGCGCACGGUUGUGCUUGCCCGUCAGCUCCAGCGCUCGCUCCAGCUAUAUACAAACAAGAUCACCAACGGAGCAUUACAAUAUGUGCGGCAAGUACACCAGCGAGACACAAGCUCAAUGCAUACGGUGCACCGUCCCUGCGUUCAUUUCUCCUGCCUCCGAACUCUAGGCCCUCCCCCAGGCUGGGUGGCCUCCGUGUGACCUUCCGCACUCGGCUUCACCCGUCCCCGGUCUCACCUGCGCGGCAGACUCAAUCUGUGCAUGCGCUGUAGCAUCCACUGCACCCAGCCGUUCCUGCGCCGCCAGUUACAAGUCUCAGUUCACGAGUUCAUCAACAACUAUGCUGCAGCCAAGCUCCUCACCGUCGCUGCCCGCAUGUCGCUCUGCAGCUCUUGAAUGGCGUGGUCGUGCUUCUGCAGCUGCAUCGCCACCGUGGGGCCGGUCGUGGGCGCCCCUGUGCCGCUGCCAGCUGCUCCGGCACCGGCCCCAGGCGUCAGCUGGCCAGCGCCAACAUGGACUGACGUGCGCGGUAGCGCGCUCCUGGCCCCUGCAGCCGGCGUGCCGCUGCCAGCCAGCGGCGUCCGUGCUCCGGCGCCCACUGCAGACGUGGGCCGUGCAGACGACGGUGUGCCCGCCACACCUCGGGGUGCGGGCGUGGUGCCUCCGCCGGGCGCGUUACGAUAGGCGCUGAGGGGCGUGUCUGUGGAUGCUCGAAUUGUGGCCGACGCAUUCAGGGGAGUGUUCCCGCCCCCACCCCCGCCCGCGGGGCCGCUGCUGGUGGGCACGGCAAGCAGCAGCUCAAGCAUCCCCUCGUUCUGACCGUCCACCAGCUCGAGGGGAGUGUUGCCCGCCUGUAAAUGGCCCAGCAGCAGCGAUCCACCGACAGCGGUUCAGUGCAUGCAGCAUGCCCGCUUAAGGAUGCGCCACCCGUCAAACUGCGCAGGUUCUACUCAUCCGAAAUACGGUCUGCCUGACACGCUCAGCUCCAAGCCGUCCUGACCCUCCCUAUCUGUAUGAAGGCCGGCACUGACCUUGUCCUUGGCAUCGGUCCGUGCUCCGGCGUCAAUCAGCUUCGCAACGACCUCAAUGUGGCUGUUGCGGACUGCCAAGUGAAGCGGAGUCUGGCCGUCGCGGUUCUUCUGCUUGACCAUCAGCUUCCGGCCCGGCCCAGUGAGGAGCUCCACAACGCUUUCCACAGAUCCCUGGUGUUGUUUUGGUGCAAGGUUGUCGUGUGAGCGCUGUGGGCACCCUCCAGGCGUUGGGACGAUAACCCUUGGCACCCUCAGUGCGUGAUAACGAGACCCUACCUGCUCUGCUGCCAGGUGCAGGGGCACGUUGCCCGAGUUGUCCAUGACGUCAUGAGGUGCGCCGUGCAGGAGAAGCUCCCUCACAAACGCUGGGAGACCCGCCGCAGCCGCGAGGUGGAGCGGCGUCGCACCCGACACCUGGUGUGAAACGCGUGUGAGCUCACAGGGUGUUGCGCCGGUGUAGGCGUGAACCAUGCCCCCACUCGUGCUGCCGCGUGCAUGGAACCGGCGCUGCAUCAUCGGUGUGCCACAAGCCGACAAGCGCCUUCUAAGCCAACCAGCCCUUCACGCCGCUGGUCAAUGAUGACCGCCCGCGGUUCACCGCGGCCAUAGCACUGCCGGAUGCCCCAUUCAGGUUACUAUUGCCAACAUAACCAAAACUCACGGGGUUCUUGGCGGUAGUGCAUGUGGAGUAUAACGAAAUGCAGCGCUUGAGUCCCGCCAAGUUGCCCUUCUCUAUCUCUUUAAAUAUAUUCUGGGCCAUGGCUUCACAGCGACUGCGUUGAUCUGGUAACCCGUUAGCGAGCAAGCAAGUAGGGCGAACUUUGCAUUUUGACACUGUUUUUGUUGGUUCAAGUUCUUUUUGUUCGUCAAGGGCUAAGAAAUGAUAAUGGUUUGUUAUGGUUAAAGGGAUCCGAGUGAGGUCGCCAGCACAGGCGAAGCGCGGAUUUUGCAUGGGCACGACAGCUCUCCGAGUUUUGUCCUUGGCUUCUUAGUUCUACCAGGCACGAGCACGCCCGCGUUACUCGGCCACCCGCUGAGUCAUCAAGAUGAUACUGGUGAUAAACGCUGCCCUGCGCCUGCGCGGGUGAUGCUAGCAUGGUAGCCCCAGGUACACCCCUGCCCAACCUGGACACGCCGCGCCCCGCGCCGCGCUGGUCCUUGACUAUAUGUCGAUAUAGGUCACGUUAUAAUUACUAUAUUUGUCACCCGCAACCCCGCAUGCAUACUUCAAUGGGCCAGCAGGUCCCUGGCCCCCUACCUGCCCCUGCCUGUCCCGGCGUUAGCGCCCGAUCCUAUCCGAGUGCAGUCACUUUACAUGAGCUAUGACCAUCUCACAGGUAUCUUAAAGAACCCACGUGGUCACCGCCGUCCACCUGCAGGGUCUGCUCUGUGUGCAAAGGGGCUUGUGCCUUGCGUGCAGGGCUUCUGCGCCGGCAGUUGGCAGUUGAGCGCGCAGGGGGCGGGUAUGCAUGAUGCUCAUGCUCACGCUUUUCUCUUUGCUUGUGCUAGCUUACUGGCCUCGGCUCUACAACGUCAUGUUCGCUUGUGCGUGUUGCGUAUUUUCAAGCACGACAAUAACAUGAUAGACUGCGCGGGUAAGUAUGUCCCCUGCGUCAUUGUUGUGAGCGCAGGGGUGCCCCUGUGUGGGCGAGAUGCCAUUGCAAUUCCCUUACUUGACCGGAGGGUGGGAAAAUUGCCUAGCGCAGGCAUCUGGCGGGGUGGGUCUGGUCUGGCAGCUAAGUUCCAGAGGCACCCUGACCCCCGCGCACGUGCAUCUGAGGGUGCUGGGGUAGCCCUGCGCACGCAUCUUGGGGUGCCAUGUCCACGCAUCUCGACUGGCGGGGAUGGUCUGCCCAGGCAUCUUAGCUGCCGUGCCCAGGCAUCUUGGAUGGCGGAGGCGGUCCGCCCAGGCACCUUAGCUGCCGUGCCCCCGCAGCUUGACUGGCGUGGUUUCCCACCCCGGAAACGUAGCGUGCCGAGUUUAGAUUGCGGGAAUGUCAGUAAGCACGGUAUGCCCGUACCCACGUGGGUGCUGGUGCUGGUGCCAUUGUGCCACAGUGCCCAUGGCAAGCACGCAGCUCAAUCCGGCCUGCUUCCUAAAGAAUGCUCUACACGCAGAGAUGCCAAGCGCGAUUUAUUCACUGUGACAACUAGACGGAGACUGUGGGUUCGGACAUGGAAACACGGUCUGGGGCCGCUAAAGCUGUGUUUAUGCCGUGGAGCCUGCUGUGAUUUAUUUCAUGAUAUCUGCUAUCUGGGUGACAAGCUGUAUUCCCUAGGAAAGCUGGCUGCGGCGCCGAGUUGGCUGUCACGCCCCGCGAACCAGUGGUUCGCAGAGGGCCUUUUGUUUCCCUGCUUGCCCAGUAGUUUUUAAACUUGCUCAUGCUUUACAUGUAGCCUUCUUGUGGCACCACAAGCCUCAAAAGAAGGAAGCCUUGACCAAUAAUGUCGCAACUUCAGCAGAGUUCUGCAGCUCGAAGUAUCUAUAAAGGUGUUGUGGUAGCUUAAAUAUCAGCACGCAUUCAGUAUAGGCCAGCAUGGUCCAAGCCCUUGACUUUCCGGCUGAGCAGUGUGGCUGUGUACGUGUGCCGGAGUGCUGGCAUACCCCUACGCACUGCCCGUUACCCAUUCCAGACCCUCUUGCGGCAUUUUACCAAGCAACUAGGGUGGCUACAAUAGGCAGCUCGGAUGUGCUAGCAGGGGCGCCGCGGCAUCUGCAAUGCCUCGCGCAGGCAUCCGUGCUGAUGGCGCGGGGUCGCGCAGGCAUCUGCCAUCCCUCGGCGCAGGCAUCUGGACUGCCGCGGCGACCCGCCCCAGGCAGCUUCAAACCCCCGCGCACGCAGCCAAAUUUGGCUUGGCAGGGUACCCGGCUCACCCUUACAACCAGAGGCCACCGGCAACUUUUCGGAUUUCCUACCCUCCUACUUGACUGGGGCGACAGACGGCUCCCCAAUUCCGCAUCCCACCGCCGGCCAUUCAGCUGGCGACGGAGGUCUGCCUACUUGCACGGCAUUGGCACGGCCAUGCCGGCAUCAAUUACGUACGGUGCCUAUGGUGGAGAAUGGCCUUGAGGACCCGAUGGCCCCACCUAGAGGCCUAGACAAUUCAACAGCUAUGAGCUAUCAACUGGGCAACACCGUCGAAAGUCCGUGCACCCGCUGCACACUCAGCAGCCUACCCUGUAAGCACUAACUAGCGGCGAACCAUUCCGACCCGGUGCUCAUGUAGCGCAACACAUCCCGUCGCUAAACACACAUCGCAAACCAUGGGCGUCCUUGCGCCUCAACACAUGGGCAUGCUAGCGCCUGCGGGAGUUUCUCCGUCCUCCAUCGUCAAGACCCGCGACUUUCCACAUGCAUGCCUGUUGGAAUGCUAGCAGUGCGUUAACACAUGCGUGUCACGAGCCAGCCGUGCGUAGCCACACCAUAGGCGCAUCAGCACGCGGCAGCUCGCAACAUGCGAGCGAUCAGCACUAAACCAUCAAAAUGGGCCUCAAUGCACACUGCCGGGCUGCCAUCAGCAAAUGACACAGCCGUCGUGGUGCCGCGCACCUCGGCGGUCGUACUCCUCGUACUGAUACGCCAUCAGCUGCGUGUGUGUGCGGGGGUUGGAGAGCAGCGUUGCGGCACAUGUCGGAUGUAGGCUGAGGGAAGGCAGCAUGGACCGCAAGCCAGAAACAUGCCCCAGGGGCCCCAGUAGGACCCCCACCGUCCGUCACGGGGACCGGGCACAUCUGCGGUGUUGCGCUCAAACACCAACCUGCUGGCUAGUGCUGGCCAGCCGCGCGGCGGUCUGCGCCUGCGCGUCACUGACCGACUGCAGCCCCUGCUGCAGCACCUGCAUCUGAGCCUGUAGGUCGCCGCCAGGCACGAGGCAGGCACAGCUCCUUAAAAGCUACACUGUGGCCAAUAACCAGCUAUGGCCAAUAAGCGUCAUCCCAGCAUACCGUAUAGCGAGCGCCUUAUGACCCUCAAGGGCCACUACACAUACAUGGGGCCCAGGAUCUCUCUGCAUUCCGUAACGCGCCCAGCAGGAGCCCGCCCCGCCCCGCCUCACGUUCAGUUGUACCACAGUUGCCGCCAGCCAGCCCACAAGUGUCAUGAGCGCUCCGCCGACGGUCAGCACCGCGCACAGCGCCGUCCAGCGCCACACGAAGGCGCGCAUGCGCUGCAGCUCCUGCACCAGCUGCCGCCGGGCGUCCUCCUCCCUGCGACACGUGGGGUGAGGAGAUAAGCGGUGCGCAGCGGGGCAGGAGUGAGUAGGCGAAGUGGAACACCUUAUCCAUUGUUGUCUUGGACGAUUCAGCGGUACUUGUAGCCGGUACCAUCCUCAAUAGGGGACAUGAUCCGGAUCGCCGGAGGAAAGAAUACGAGAACCAAACCCAACGUGCGCCUGACUGCACAACAAGCCGGAAGGGGUGUGCGGGACAGUAGGUAUGCGCCCGCCCGAGCCCAAAGGAUAGGGUGUACAGUGAGCAUAGUCGCAUCACGUGCGGCUUCACAAGCUGCUGAGGCACGCGGUCUGCCCCGCCCGCCCGAGCCCACACACACGGCCCACCUGGACAGCAGUUCCUCUAGCACCCGCGUCCGCGCCUUGCCCUGCUUGGCGGAUCCGGGCGGGGAGUUUCCUGGUCGCGCGGCAGAUCCCGCUGCGGCCGCCGGCGGGUCCUCACCAGGGCCGGCAGGCGCGGCAGCGGCAGCAGCUCCGCGAAGGAUUGCAUCCGCCUCGUGCUCGUCGUCGGCCGCGUCCACAUAAUCAUGCCCAACAGCAUCGGCAGCAGCAGGCAUUGCGGCGGCUGUGUGGCGCAGUGGGUCGCUGCCGAACAGCCUGCCGCGGUUUAGCAACGCCAUGCUGCACAGCAACUGAUUGGAAUGGGAGCAGAAAGAUGGUCAGGAAGCUAACGGGAACCAGUUUUUGGCGAUUUGGGGCAGGCAGGCUUUUCCCAACCCGGGCCUGACCCCGGGCCCGACCCCCGGGCCCAUUGCCUUGGGGAUCUUCAUUGUGUAAGGUGCCCGACUCGCUCGUCGUUCCCCGCUCACACUUCGUCGCGGUCGUUCGGAGCUGCUGCACCCUUGCAAAACGUUAGCCACCUGCGUACGUUGGGGAACGAGCGGGGUGGGGGGCGUGCGGGGUGGCCGCGCCGUGGCGGGCAAUGGGAAGUUCGCUAACCAUAACUGCCGUGAGGAAUGCAAACUUCCAGCCAGCCAGCAACUUUUCGGUACAGUGACUCCGGCGUUCGGCCAGCCGCGCACUCCUGCCCUGCCGUUGCAAAUUGUUUGCCAUCUUCUGGGGUCUGGGAAUCACCACUUCACCAACCUGCCUUAACACUGUCCCAUCGCACAACCACACCCACCACUUCACCAACCUGCCUUAACACUGUCCCAUCGCACAACCACACUGCCUUCCGCACCGCAGCUGCGUUUCCUAUAAUAAGAGUGUAAUAAGCUGAAGAACAUCCCGCCAGAAGACUGAGGCCGCGCACCCGCCUUGAUACAUCCAGUGCUGGUCUACAGCUGAAGGGGCAGCGCAGGAGUUGGAGAGACUUGACCACAGAGACUGAGUUGGAGAGACUUGACCACAACAAUGCCGCGUAAAUUAAAAUGCACAUCGUUUCGGGCACGCCGCGGGCACGUGUGUCGUGUUUGCACCGCACGCCCGCACUCCGGGCCGGCGGACAUGCUCCAUCGUUGCGUCCAACAGCCACACCGGAUUGCAUUACCUUCUUGUCAGCGCAGGUGAGCCCUCCUAGCCCUUUGUCCGCCCUCCGCGCUGUAAAUGCCUACCUGCCCACAAGCUCCGACCCACAACAGCAAUCAAUACGCUCAGCUGCAGCUGUGCCCACACUCCUCAGCGUCUAGGCCCUCUUACCCAGCAAGUCGUACUGUGCGCCCUAAUGCAUACAUACAAAACGAACAUGAACACAAUGCGCAGACAGCAACACUGAACAUUGCAACGCCAACAAUGCCUCACAUUGUCCACCACACACAAUGAACGCACACGCACAUCAGCGCGCACAGAAGUACACACAUCAUUCGUUCUUUGGUGAGGUACAUAUGAAGAUCGAAGUCCCCAGUGCCUGACUGAGUCCGCCCAUCCUAGCCCUGCCCAUUGGCUAUAAGAUGAAGAGGCAUGCGUGCUGCCUGCAACGCCUUCAGCGCUACUGCUUCCCAUCCCGGCAAGCGCCGGGGCGCGCACGUGUCACGGCUAGCCAGCAUAACCUCCAUCCGGUGACAGCCGGAGCUAUGGAGCUGCUGUCGGCGUGCACCAGCUCACCGCCGGUUGCCGGCGCCGCCACCUGGGCCCGCUCGUGCCUCGUUGCACACCUCGCACCGCCGCGCCGUCAGGUCCUGGUUGUUGUACGUGCACUUGUUGCAAGUCCUGUCGACGGCACAGGCGACCGGCUUUGACCCGACACGCUCACUCGAGCUGAAACACACAACCUGGUUACCGGGCCUGGAUGGUUUUACUGCGUUGUGCCAUCACACAGUAUGCCACACAUGCUCUAAUGCCGCCAGGUGCCGAGCAUCACUUGCCCUGACCUGGGCAAAACACCUUGGCUCUCGCUGCUGCCCACCACUGCCCACCCUAUCCUACCCAGCACACAAAGCUACACGUUCGACUCAGAAUGCCCCUGUCCCCUGCUCACCAGAAGCCCUGCUCGCCCAGCAGCACCACGUCCUCGUCCACUCCGCGCGCCUUCUUGGAGCGGCGGCCCUUGUGUCCCGUCGUGCCGGUGGCGGCCGGCCCUCCCGCUGCGCCUGCCGCCUGCUCCCCGCCCUCGUUCACGCCGCUGGGGCCGGCGCCGUCAUCCACCUGCCCGCAACACCAGACACAUGCACACGUCAGCCCUCGGAGAGAAGCAUCACAACUGGUAGCAUUGCCAAUUAGCGUUACAUUACUGCAGCCGCGCAAUGACGCCCAUGUCAACUAUCGUCAUGGGCCAUCGCUCGCGCCUUUUUGCACAUUGCAGCUACGCCCGCAACGCAUGCUUGCAACUCUACGCCCUCUCGUCCGGCCCAGUGCCUACUCUACCGGACACCUGUGCAGCUUGAUGACCGAAGCCCAGCCACACCUACCGUAACCUACUCGGCGUGCAGAAUACAAACAGGACUGAACGCCGAAAGCAUCUGUUUGCUACCCGCCUCUGAACGCGUUGCUCAUACUGUACACACGCGCUGUGCGACACCGCCAUGCCCAUCCUGCGUCAGCCCCCUUGUCUGGUGUCAGCCGAGAGCCCCUAUGUGGAACCUCGUCUUGAGCAGUCCGUGUCCCAUGCCAGUGCCGCCUCCAUACAUUGCUUCCCGCCACAAGCGCGACCGGUCCAUGCCCUCUGCACCGCCCCCUUACGGCAGGCUCACCCCCUCGCAUCGCCUUGGCCCCGCGCCACGCUCAUCGCCUUCAGCAUUACUCCCCCGCAACCUGUCGAGCUGUCUUUUUACUAGUGCAAUCUACUACUGCUUCACCUGGCCUGCGUAGUCCGCCUCCAUGCUGCUGAAGCCCUUCUCCAGCUGCUUCACCAGCUUGUCGAAGAAGCCCGCCGUCACGUCCGUCAGGCCUGUGGUGAGCAGGAAAGCAAUAUCGGGGUACAGGCCUUCAGCAAGCGAGGUCGUACAGCGGCAUGGGGCAGCAAGCAGGCAGGCGGGCAUGAGCAUGGCACAUUCACAUCGCCAAACCCGAUAUUCACCACGCCACAUCGCGCGCACGAAACCCGUCGUUCGAGUCCCCUUUUGCACAGCAGCCCUCGACAGCGCCUGCAGCCGCCUGUGGCCCUACAGCCGCCACCGCCCGGUCCUCACCGAUGAGGUUCUUGCGGAACGUCUGGAAGGCGUCCGCGUCGAAGCCGCCGUCUGCCUGGUUGCGCGCCUUGGUCACGUGCGCGCCCAGGUCCUUCUCCGCCGCCUCGUGCAGCCGCUCCAGCGAGCGCUCGGCGUCGCCCUGCGACAGCGACGGACAGGGAAGGUAAAGCCAAGGCCCGGUAAGGUCGUCAGCCGCGAUGCGGCGCCCACACUGCGACGCCGCGUCGGUGUGUUGCGGUCGCACAACAUCAAGCCGCAGCGCUUGCCCUGCCACGCACGCCCUGCCACGCGCUCCUGCAGCCGCCCAAGCGCACCUGCAGGAACUCGAAGAAGCCCUUGUGCCGCGCCACCUCGCUGUUCCGGUCCGCGUCCUCGAACGCGUAGUAGCCGUACGCGUACGUCCACUUGAGCAUUCUCCGGCACUCCACGAUCUGUGACACGCGCAAACAAGUGAAUGUUCAGCUUGGGGUCCUCGUCGACGAGCCAUGCUGCGCCGUAAAGUUGCAACCCAAGCGGAAUGUCCAGCCGCCAACCCUGCGCACCGCCGCCCCCUUUCAACAACCCCCUUAGUGCCCGACUGCCCGCCAAAGCCGCCCUGCCCAGCCGCCACACACCUGGUUCCAUGCCUCGUUAAUGAACUUGAGCUGGCUGGUGGGCGUCUUCGUGAUGUCCGCCAGCUGCUCCAGCCAGUCCUUGCUCACCUUGCUCGCGUCCAGCCGGGCCUACGUGUGCACGAAUGCGCCACAACGGAUAAGGAAUGCUGUUUGUAUGUCGACCAGUGGCGACUACCCGCAUUACGAGGAUGCGCGCAAGCACUAGACCAGCUGGCCCUGACCCACCUUCUCGCGCGCCUUGGAGUGCGCGUCAAAGCGCUCGAAGUAGUGCAUGUACCGCUCGAGGCUGGCCUUGGCGUUUUCACGCCGCCGCGACUCGUCGUCGUACUCGCCCUUCUUCUUCGCCGUCUCAAACCUGGAGGGAAUGCCAGCAAUGCGAGCUUGUGUAAGUGCCACAUCGCAGCUGUCAUCUGAGCGCUACCGGCCGCCCUGGGCAGGCGUGCUAAGGCUCGAUAUGUGCAUCAUCGCCCACCCGUACUGCCGCUUCCGUCGAGGCUUUUUGCCAUUGGGUCGAUACAGGCCGUCUCUACCAUUGCGCCCGCCUACGUUACUAGCACAUCGGUCCCAUCACAUUCAGCGCUUCCCGCGCCGCCCACCACCCACCGGUUGCACGCGUAGAAGCCUCCCGUCCGCUCGCCGUGCUCCUUCCAGUCGCCCUGGCACAGCCAGCAGAACUCAAACCGGCACUGGCUGCACGUCAUGUGCAUGCAGCCCUGCGUAUGCAUCAAGCAGCGGCAUAUAGGUUAGUCACGGGGCUGACAUCACUUAACCUCAGUCAGCUGACGUGCCCGCAGCUGCAACCCUUGCCCCACCAGCACCUACAUGCUGACAUUCCCAUCCCCAUCCUCUCACACCUGGUUCUUCUCUAUGGGCCUGCUGCACUUGGGGCAGGGCUUGGUGUUGGCCAGGAUCCAGUUCAUGUUCUCGCUCUCCGCGCUGUUCUUGGUGAGCCACGUCUUCACCGUCUUGCAGGACACCUGCAGGCGCCCGCACAUGCAAGGUCAGGCACGCCAGACUAACGCUCUAGAGGUCUCUCGGCCGGCCAGCUUCGGCACUGCCGCCGCCAGCUGCCUGGUGUGAGAACGCCCCCGCGACGCUCGCGUGACCUGCGGCCAACAGCUGGGUAUGGCCACUGGGUGUCCCGCGCUCCAAUUCGACCCAAUUCAGUGUGUCUGGCCCCCAACCCCUCGAUGGAUGCGGCUGUUUGAUCAGUCUCCGUCUUGGUCCCCUCCUCGCCCCCUGGCACCUUGCCCCUUUUCCAGCCGGGCUAUCCAUCAUGUCAAAGCCCUAGCCUCUGAACCAGCUCCUUGCCCGGACAAGCCUACUGUCCAGUCACCAUUAACUCACCGGCCGGUGCGCCUCCUCCUUGCAGUUGAAGCAAAACGUGGCGGAGCAUGAGCAGAUGACGUCCAUCGCCUCGUCUGGCCCGCGGUCCACCAGGCACUGAAUCGCGUUCUCGCAAUUCUGCACGCGUGCGACAUAAGCAGUCAGGUGAUGACUUCAGUGACCAAAGCCAGACACUGUCCGCCUCAUUACCGGUGACUCCUAUCUUUGCACCUUCACCCACGCCACCCGCCUCCUCUGUCUUCAACUACGCACAUCCCCAAUACGUCCACUACCUGUACACUGACGGCCCAAUCACAACACUCAUUCCAUCUGUCACUCCUGCUGCUGCAACUGCUCGCCCCUCCAAAUCCCUCCGUUUCAUUGCAUGGCAUGACGCCCUUGACCCUGUGUUGCCAAAGCACCCUCGUUCUCACCUUGCCGGUGCACCAGCACAUGGAGCUAUUGUCCUCCACAAAGGAGCGCACCAUGUAGGUGCUGUACUUGGACUGCUCCUCGCCGCUGGCCAGCUCCAUCACCAGCGCGCAUGGCACCUGCGUGGUAACAAAUGUGGUGUUCCUGAACAGGAAAGUGUUGAUCCAUGCAUGCAUCCAGUGCUUCGAAGCGGCCCGUUGGGACUGAGCAGGAGGUCCAGCCAGCUGGAUGUGGCGUUGCAGGCGCAAACCCACCCCAAGGUACUCACGCAGGCCUUUUGCUUGCAUUCCGUGGACGGGCAGCGCAGGUCCAGGCAGGCAGGCCCUGAAGACAGCGCCUGCGUGAUGUACCCCCGCCAGCAGUCCUUGCAGAAGUAGUGCCUGCACGCCGCUGAGCGCAUGUCGCGCACGGGGAAGCUGUCGAAGCAGAUAAAGCAGCGCUCCUCCGCCUGGGCGUGGCAGAAAGCAGGCACGGAGCGCAGGGUGACAGCAGGAACGGUUUGCGUGAAGGGGCAGGUAACAAAGCUGGGAAACCGGGCGUGUGCACUCGAUGGCCUGGGCAGUGUUGUCAUGUAAUAGAGGCCAGGCACUGCAUUUGACCCCGUGCCCUUUUCCUUCCCGCCGUAGAGGUUGCUGGAUAGCCGGUAUGGUGCAUCCGCCUAGCCUGCAAUACGACCCGAACCCAUGGGAGCGCCUACAGUCUGUUGACCACGUGUGCGAAGCCCUGUGCAGCAAACCCCUCGACCCGCGCGUGCGCCCACUGCUCACCUCACAGGCCGCGCGGCCCGACGGCCCAGGCUCAUCCACGAGCCCUAGCGACUCCCGGACCUGGUCAUACUUCGAGAACCACUCCUCCUGCACCCGGCUCGAGUCCCUGCAGCGCCAGGCCACCGUAUGUCAAGUCACCAGGGUUUCGGCAUGCCUAGCGCCAAGCGUGCGCAACCCCACCAGGGACGGCCUCACCAUUUGUACUUGCGAAGGACACGCAUAGCCGUGUCCUCGUCAAUGCCUAGGACGUCCAUGACCUCGCGAAGCGCCUUUUCCCGCUGUUUGUUAAGGUCCUCCUUGGGCAGGACCUUGUAGGGAACCUGCAUAUGCAUACGCACAUCAUCAAGACCCCGCUUCUCGCUUAGCCGUGUCAAGUACAGCUGCGCGAAACAAGAUCCGCUUUGGGCCCCGCUUGCCUUAGGAACAGUAGACACCUCCUCAGCGCCAGCAAAGCCGUAGUCAUCGUCGUCGUCCUCCACGUCCAUAUCCGCGUCGCUGGCUCCAUAAUCGCUCAUCUCCUCGUCCUCCGAGCCGCUCCGGAACUCCUCGCUAUCGUCACUCAUCGUGUCUACGCCCCAAUCCCCGAGAGCUUUACAGGCGAUUAAGGGGAUCGAUGUGGGCUGCCCACGUCAGGGCGACACGACCGUGCCCAGGGCGCUCGUUCCUAGUCAGCUCAAGCGUGGUAAUCAGGGGAAGUUCAAAUACUAGAAGAAGGAUGUGUGCGUCAGAGGUAUGGGAAGUAUGGCAGGGACGGUGCCGGGCGAAAUGCCGGUCUGGUCGAGUCUGAGGCCCAAUCUGCCCCAUUCUAGCCCUGUUGCUUGGGUUGUCCGGGCCCACGCUUUGGCGGGCAUUUUGCUCCCCGGCUGCCUCCGCCUGAAUGUUUGACAGGGACCAACAGAAUGCACGUAGGUUGGCCGGUGACAGGCGCAGGUUUCCGUGUUCCUUACACUCAAGCUUUGAGGACGGCUGUGCGGGACCUGACGGAAGCUAAGCCCAAGCCCGUUGCAACGGCAGCCUGCGGUACCCAUUAUUCAGCUUGACCCCAAAACGAACAAGUUCACCCGCACCAAGGCGUCACACGAAUGCCUGGACUGCGGAGGCAAGGACAGGACGUUCGAGCUGCACGCUGGGGGGGGGGGGCAAUGCCGUGCUGGCGUGUUUUGCAGGCUGGGUAUCCCUCGACCGUGGCACUUUUAUAACCCAGCUAGAGGAGCUGUCCAGUGCUGAGGCUAGAUUCCGGCUGCCAAGGCUGCGCCCGCUGGCUGAACCCUCCCGGCUGAGCAGCGUCGGGGCGUGCCCCGCUGUAAAGCCCCAUCCACUCCCCCCUAACGCUGAACCCCCGCCAGCCGCAGCUGCCACGCGUCUGCACGCGGGACAUGUGCACGUGACUGCGCCUCCGUACCCAGCGCCGCCGCUCUGAUGCUGCCCAUGGCGCAGCACCAGUCCCAGCAGCCGCUCGCCAACAUCCUCUGCCGUUGAUCCGCGCGCGCGCCAGGCCGCUGCUGCUCUCCGUAUAUUUGCUGAGCUCCGUGUCUCCUUAACAUAAGCUGCUGCCAUGUCUGGGCCAGCCAGCGCUGGCCGCCGCGGCGUCGAGCGUGUCCCAUCCCUCCCACCCGCACCCCACCCCGGCCCACUGGAGGGCCACCCCGGGACGGAGAGGAAGCACUCAUACGAAGCGUGUGCCUUACAGCACGACAUCAGACCGCCGUGGGCGGAGGGCACCAGCCAGCAACACCGCGCACACCCGCGCCGUGAGCGAUGGAGUCCAGUCCGAGGGCGCCAUGGCUCCGAGCUGCUGCCGUGGCUCCCACUGCUGCUAAGCCGCUAGCACCACGAUCCUACUGUCCGCCUGCUUAAUCCUUCUUCUGCUGCUGCUGGUCGCGGUUGGGGAACCGGCGAGGCGGCUCCCGGUUCCGGCGCUCCUUGGCGUUGCGGACGCGCACAACGCGGCUGUGGAUAGCAGCGCUGAUGCUGUAGUACACCUUGCGGUAAAUCUUGGGCAGGGCGUAGUCUGUGGGCAGGGAUUGCGCCGGCAGAAGCCUCAAGACGGCGGACAAACACGCCCUCGCGCUAAAAUGAGCACACUCGGUCCUCAUCCACUUCAUUUCAUAUUGUCAUGACCUAUUGCUAUCCCAAGCCAGCCCAACUGGAGGCCGUCGCCCAGGCUCGAUCCCCAGCGCCCACAGCCGUCCCUCCGCCGACUCACUGUCGACGACGCAAGCCUCCUGCAUGUCGCGGAGAGCCGACGCGUCCACAAUGUUGCGCACAAUGUAGCGCUUGAUAGCCUUGUCCUUGGGCACCAUGGCGCCGCUAGACUCGCAGCGCACACGGUUCACAUGGCCGCGGCCGUGCUUGGCGCGUCCCCGAUUCCGCCGCUUCUUCGUCAUGGUUGCUAGCUUUGCAGAGAGAGG
RNAcentral lists this long non-coding RNA (30108 nucleotides) under Chlamydomonas reinhardtii. RNAcentral describes it as "long non-coding RNA (CREI_LNC001278)". The record is from RNAcentral. Lineage: Eukaryota; Viridiplantae; Chlorophyta; Chlorophyceae; Chlamydomonadales; Chlamydomonadaceae.